Molecule: ribosomal RNA, 254 nt
Filed under: uncultured bacterium
Lineage: Bacteria
Description: partial 16S ribosomal RNA
Rfam family: Bacterial small subunit ribosomal RNA
Source: RNAcentral
UACAGAGGGUGCAAACGUUGUUCGGAAUCACUGGGCGUAAAGCGCACGUAGGCGGAUCUUUAAGUCAGGGGUGAAAUCCUGGAGCUCAACUCCAGAACUGCCUUUGAUACUGGGGAUCUCGAGUCCGGAAGAGGUAAGUGGAACUCCGAGUGUAGAGGUGAAAUUCGUAGAUAUUCGGAAGAACACCAGUGGCGAAGGCGGCUUACUGGUCCGGUACUGACGCUGAGGUGCGAAAGCGUGGGGGAGCAAACAGG